Molecule: transfer RNA, 65 nt
Filed under: Colias erate (eastern pale clouded yellow)
Lineage: Eukaryota; Metazoa; Arthropoda; Insecta; Lepidoptera; Pieridae
Description: tRNA-His
Source: RNAcentral
ACUUAAAUAAUUUAAUUAAAAUAUUGAUUUGUGGUAUCAAAAAUAUGAAUGUAUCAUUUUAGGUU